RNAcentral lists this transfer RNA (70 nucleotides) under Dermacentor albipictus. RNAcentral's name for it is "tRNA-Asn". The record is from RNAcentral. Lineage: Eukaryota; Metazoa; Arthropoda; Arachnida; Ixodida; Ixodidae.
UUUAAUAGAAGCCAAAUUUUGAGGCAAUUCACUGUUAAUGAAUUAAUUGAUAGUAUUAUCCUAUUAAAAC